UACGUAGGGGGCGAGCGUUGUCCGGAUUUAUUGGGCGUAAAGAGCUCGUAGGCGGCUUGGCAAGUCGGGUGUGAAACCUCCAGGCUCAACCUGGAGACGCCACUCGAUACUGCCAUGGCUAGAGUCCGGUAGGGACCGACGGAAGUUCCUGGUGAGCGGUGAAAUGCGCAGAUAUCAGGAGGAACGCCGGUGGCGAAGGCGGGUCUCUGGGCCGUAACUGACGCUGAGGAGCGAAAGCGUGGGGAGCGAACAGG
RNAcentral lists this ribosomal RNA (254 nucleotides) under uncultured bacterium. RNAcentral describes it as "partial 16S ribosomal RNA". It matches the Rfam family "Bacterial small subunit ribosomal RNA", at positions 524 to 776 of the family's 1533-position model. The record is from RNAcentral.